RNAcentral lists this microRNA (22 nucleotides) under Homo sapiens (human). RNAcentral's name for it is "hsa-miR-5192". The record is from miRBase by way of RNAcentral. Lineage: Eukaryota; Metazoa; Chordata; Mammalia; Primates; Hominidae.
AGGAGAGUGGAUUCCAGGUGGU